AUCACCGAAAAGCUAACACUGAGUAAACAAGUUGAAACAAAUAAUUUGAGCUUAAAUAUAUGAUUCCUGUAUUACCUGCUUGCUUCCAAUUGACCCAUUUUAUAAUCCAACGACACAGAGGAGAAAGAAGUUGCGUAUUUAUUUAAGAACAAAAAAUGGAUAAAUCGGGAGAUGUUAAGAAGACGGAUACACACAGCUGGGCCUGACUCACUCACACUGAAAUCCCCUCGCUCUCUGUCCAAUGUUAUUUUCAGUUGCCAGUUAUGCCACCAACGGACGACGACCAUGUUUCUGAACGAUUUCCACAAGUUCCCUCCUCCAUCCAGAGCCAGACACGAGUCAGACAACAAUUGUACAACAUUUUGAAACCCUUCGGUGCUCUGUUCAGACAAAAAUACGAAAUGAUGAGACUGCGUUUGACUUUCACUCUCUUUUGUUUGAUUCCAUGCUCAUUAUUUUAAAAUUGCAUUUGUUUUCACGUAGCAAUCAGAACGACGAGCGAAGUGACCCUGACCAAAAAUUCUACACUGCAAUUUCUCGUAGACUAUGGAGAAUGACAAAAAAUGGCGUGCUAAAAAAAACUACCAAACUGAAAUAAAAGUUUAGUUCACAUUGGCUAAUCUCAA
Molecule: long non-coding RNA, 626 nt
Organism: Folsomia candida
Lineage: Eukaryota; Metazoa; Arthropoda; Collembola; Entomobryomorpha; Isotomidae
Exons: 3
Source: RefSeq, a predicted model, not a curated record